UAUUGGGCGUAAAGCGCGCGUAGCGGUUUUUAAGUCUGAUGUGAAAGCCCACGGCUCAACUGUGGAGGGUCAUUGGAAACUGGAAAACUUGAGUGCAGAAGAGGAAAGUGGAAUUCCAUGUGUAGCGGUGAAAUGCGCAGAGAUAUGGAGGAACACCAGUGGCGAAGGCGACUUUCUGGUCUGUAACUGACGCUGAUGUGCGAAAGCGUGGGGAUCAAACAGGAUUAGAUACCCUGGUAGUCAAGGGCG
RNAcentral lists this ribosomal RNA (249 nucleotides) under uncultured Staphylococcus sp. RNAcentral describes it as "partial 16S ribosomal RNA". It matches the Rfam family "Bacterial small subunit ribosomal RNA", at positions 552 to 802 of the family's 1533-position model. The record is from RNAcentral. Lineage: Bacteria; Bacillati; Bacillota; Bacilli; Caryophanales; Staphylococcaceae.